UGGGGGAUAUUGCACAAUGGGCGAAAGCCUGAUGCAGCGACGCCGCGUGGGGGAUGAAGGCUUUCGGGUUGUAAACCUCUUUCGCUAUCGAACAAGGCCCGCUUAGGGUGGGUUGAGGGUAGGUGGAGAAGAAGCGCCGGCUAACUACGUGCCAGCAGCCGCGGUAAUACGUAGGGCGCGAGCGUUGUCCGGAAUUAUUGGGCGUAAAGGGCUUGUACGCGGCUUGUUGCGCCUGCUGUGAAAACGCGGGGCUUAACUUCGCGCGUGCAGUGGGUACGGGCAGGCUUGAGUGUGGUAGUGGUGACUGGAAUUCCAGGUGUAGCGGUGGAAUGCGCAGAUAUCGGGAGGAGCACCGAUGGCGAAGGCAGGUCACUGGGCCAUGACUGACGCUGAGGAGCGAAAGCAUGAGUAGCGAACAGG
Molecule: ribosomal RNA, 420 nt
Filed under: bacterium
Lineage: Bacteria
Description: partial 16S ribosomal RNA
Rfam family: Bacterial small subunit ribosomal RNA
Source: RNAcentral